UCACACUUGUAAGUUCACUUUGCUAAGGUAAAUGACACUUAUAAGAGUGUAUACAUUAGUAAAGUCGUAAGUUAAUGAUGUAAGCUACUUACGUGGUGUGAGUUACUUACG
Maniola jurtina (meadow brown) is the source of this 111-nucleotide long non-coding RNA. RefSeq lists it as uncharacterized. The transcript is spliced from 3 exons. NCBI's taxonomy places the organism in Eukaryota, Metazoa, Arthropoda, Insecta, Lepidoptera, Nymphalidae. The record is from RefSeq and is a predicted model, not a curated record.